Molecule: long non-coding RNA, 327 nt
Organism: Syngnathoides biaculeatus (alligator pipefish)
Lineage: Eukaryota; Metazoa; Chordata; Actinopteri; Syngnathiformes; Syngnathidae
Exons: 4
Source: RefSeq, a predicted model, not a curated record
UACACGUGUUACCAUGGUGACGACAAUAACUAAGUAAUGUAAAAUUUAUUCUGUGGGGAGGAAAAAAUAAAACGCGUGGCGAUCAUCACCGGUGCUCAGGAGAGGACGCUCAUUCAAGGAUUGCUUGAGUUCAUCCCGUCCGGCGCACCUGUCCCUCCAAUCAAACUCUGAGGCUGGUCACCAUGGAGACACAAAACAAACCAGACACGAUCACAGACUUGGAUGGAUGUGCAAGGGUUGCGGGAAAGCUGGAGCCGACACCAUCACUGAGCGGGAAUCGAUCCCACGCUGCCCGCACCAAAGCCUUGGCACAGAAGCCUGCCACAG